UGGCUCCGAUGAGCUCUGGAGAUGGUUCAACUUCCAGAGGCUUCCUCAUAAAUUUUUGGAAUUUUUGAGACACAGAUAAACUUCGGGUGAUCGAGGUCAGCUAUUUUCUGCAUCCAGCAGCCACAAUAGUCAUCGAUGUACUGCCACAGGAGGAGUUAUUUUACAGAGCAACCUGUUUUCUUCCUCGUAGGUUUAACGUCGAUUAUUUAAUUGUUUUACUAUCUUUUCUAAAUUUAAAAUCUAGAACUCCGCAUGUGUUAGUAAUAGUAUGGACCUUGUUAGAAAUGGUGUUAAUUUAAA
Molecule: long non-coding RNA, 300 nt
Organism: Hevea brasiliensis (rubber tree)
Lineage: Eukaryota; Viridiplantae; Streptophyta; Magnoliopsida; Malpighiales; Euphorbiaceae
Exons: 3
Source: RefSeq, a predicted model, not a curated record